This 627-nucleotide small RNA is filed under the name Pan troglodytes (chimpanzee). RNAcentral describes it as "retained intron". The record is from RNAcentral. Lineage: Eukaryota; Metazoa; Chordata; Mammalia; Primates; Hominidae.
CUGAAAACAGUCAAACAUGAGCUUCUUCCAAGUGUGAAUGAUAUCACAGCUGUUGGACCGGCACAUUUCUAUGCCACAAAUGACCACUACUUCUCUGAUCCUUUCUUAAAGUAUUUAGAAACAUACUUGAACUUACACUGGGCAAAUGUUGUUUACUACAGUCCAAAUGAAGUUAAAGUGGUAGCAGAAGGAUUUGAUUCAGCAAAUGGGAUCAAUAUUUCACCUGAUGAUAAGUACGGCCCCUUAUAGAAUAUCUUCAUUUUUCUUCAGUUGUGGUGCUGGCCAAAUUCUUUACUUUGCUUUCUUUGUCAAUGUGAAAAUAGUUUUCUUGACAUUUAUGGUAUAUUAUACAUAUAAUAUAUAGAUACACUAUAUAUAUAAUUAUAUAUAUUUUGUAUAUAUAUUUACAUAUACUUAGUCACAUGUAUUUAUAUGCAAAUACAAUACCAUAUUUAAGUAAACUAUAUAAUACAGUAAUAUAUAUGUAUUUAUAUAUAAUAUAUAAAGUUUGGAAUACAUCAUUGUCAAAUUUAAUUUUAUAAAUAUAAAUUUUAAAGUGUGAUCAUACUGAUGCAUACAUAUUGAAGUAUCAGGUAUUUCCUUUUAAAUAAAUGUAUUAUUUUUAUU